UACGAAGGGGGCAAGCGUUGUUCGGAAUUACUGGGCGUAAAGGGCGUGUAGGUGGUUCUGUAUGUCUACCGUGAAAGCGUACGGCUCAACCGUAUUUAGUCGGUAGAAACUGCAGGACUUGAAGCUGGGAGGGGCUGGUGGAAUUCCCCGUGUAGCGGUGAAAUGCGUAGAGAUGGGGGAGAACACUCGUGGCGAAGGCGGCCAGCUAGACCAGUUCUGACACUGAGGCGCGACAGCGUGGGGAGCAAACAGG
RNAcentral lists this ribosomal RNA (253 nucleotides) under uncultured bacterium. RNAcentral's name for it is "partial 16S ribosomal RNA". It matches the Rfam family "Bacterial small subunit ribosomal RNA", at positions 524 to 776 of the family's 1533-position model. The record is from RNAcentral.